GAUGAAGAACGCAGCAAAAUGCGAUACUUGGUGUGAAUUGCAGAAUCCCGUGAACCAUCGAGUUUUUGAACGCAAGUUGCGCCCGAAGCCUUUGGCCGAGGGCACGUCUGCCUGGGCGUCACGCAUCGCGUCGCCCCCCACAAAUUCUCCGUCAGGGGAGCUUGUGUUUCGGGGGCGGAUACUGGUCUCCCGUGCUCAUGGCGCGGUUGGCCGAAAUAGGAGUCCCUUCGAUGGACGCACGAACUAGUGGUGGUCGUAAAAACCCUUGUCUUUUGUUUCGUGCCGUUAGUCGCGAGGGAAGCUCUUCAAAAACCCCAGCGCGUCGUCUCUUGACGGCGCUUCGACCGCGACCCCAGGUCAGGCGGGACUACCCGCUGAGUUUAAGCAUAUCAAUAAGCGGAGGA
This 404-nucleotide unclassified non-coding RNA is filed under the name soil metagenome. RNAcentral describes it as "partial contains 5.8S ribosomal RNA, internal transcribed spacer 2, and large subunit ribosomal RNA". The stretch from base 1 to 121 matches the Rfam family "5.8S ribosomal RNA", at positions 35 to 154 of the family's 154-position model. The record is from RNAcentral.